UGGUAAUGCCGGAUGCUCCAGCUGAUCGCAUGGUGUUCUGGGAAAGCCUUUGCGGCAUGGGAUGGGGUCGCGUCCUAUCAGCUUGAUGGCGGGGUAACGGCCCACCAUGGCUUCGACGGGUAGCCGGCCUGAGAGGGCGACCGGCCACAUUGGGACUGAGAUACGGCCCAGACUCCUACGGGAGGCAGCAGUGGGGAAUAUUGCACAAUGGGCGCAAGCCUGAUGCAGCGACGCCGCGUGAGGGAUGGAGGCCUUCGGGUUGUAAACCUCUUUUGUUAGGGAGCAAGGCAUUUUGUGUUGAGUGUACCUUUCGAAUAAGCACCGGCUAACUACGUGCCAGCAGCCGCGGUAAUACGUAGGGUGCAAGCGUUAUCCGGAAUUAUUGGGCGUAAAGGGCUCGUAGGCGGUUCGUCGCGUCCGGUGUGAAAGUCCAUCGCUUAACGGUGGAUCCGCGCCGGGUACGGGCGGGCUUGAGUGCGGUAGGGGAGACUGGAAUUCCCGGUGUAACGGUGGAAUGUGUAGAUAUCGGAAAAGAACACCA
This 541-nucleotide ribosomal RNA is filed under the name Bifidobacterium breve. RNAcentral describes it as "bacterial SSU rRNA". It matches the Rfam family "Bacterial small subunit ribosomal RNA", at positions 161 to 711 of the family's 1533-position model. Lineage: Bacteria; Bacillati; Actinomycetota; Actinomycetes; Bifidobacteriales; Bifidobacteriaceae. The record is from RNAcentral.